CUUGGUCAUUUAGAGGAAGUAAAAGUCGUAACAAGGUUUCCGUAGGUGAACCUGCGGAAGGAUCAUUAUCCAUCUCAACCAGGUGCGGUCGCGGCCUCCGGGGGUUCUCUCCCGGGUGGUAAGGGUAACACCUUCACGCGCCGCAUUUCUGAACCCUUUUUAUACGAGCACCUUCGUUCUCCUUCGGUGGGGCAACCUGCCGUUGGAACCAAACAAAACCUUUUUUGCAUCUAGCAUUACCUGUUCUGAUACAAAUAAUCGUUACAACUUUCAACAAUGGAUCUCUUGGCUCUGGCAUCGAUGAAGAACGCAGCGAAAUGCGAUAAGUAGUGUGAAUUGCAGAAUUCAGUGAAUCAUCGAAUCUUUGAACGCACAUUGCGCCCCUUGGUAUUCCAUGGGGCAUGCCUGUUCGAGCGUCAUCUACACCCUCAAGCUCUGCUUGGUGUUGGGCGUCUGUCCCGCCUUUGCGCGCGGACUCGCCCCAAAUUCAUUGGCAGCGGUUGCCUCCUCUCGCGCAGCACAAUUGCGUUUCUUGAGGAGUGCGGGCCGCGUCCACGAAGCAACAUUACCGUCUUUGACCUCGGAUCAGGUAGGGAUACCCGCUGAACUUAAGCAUAUCAAUAAGCGGAGGA
This 632-nucleotide ribosomal RNA is filed under the name uncultured fungus. RNAcentral's name for it is "eukaryotic LSU rRNA". The stretch from base 266 to 419 matches the Rfam family "5.8S ribosomal RNA". The record is from RNAcentral. Lineage: Eukaryota; Fungi.